GUGCCUACGGGGGGCAGCAGUGGGGGAUAUUGCACAAUGGGGGGAACCCUGAUGCAGCGACGCCGCGUGGGUGAAGGAGCGUUUCGGCGCGUAAAGCCCUAUCGGCAGGGAAGAAGAUGACGGUACCUGACCAAGAAGCCCCGGCUAACUACGUGCCAGCAGCCGCGGUAAUACGUAGGGAGCAAGCGUUAUCCGGAUUUACUGGGUGUAAAGGGCGUGUAGGCGGGCCUGCAAGUCAGAAGUGAAAUCUGGGGGCUUAACCCCCAAACUGCUUUUGAAACUGUGGGUCUUGAGUGAUGGAGAGG
Molecule: ribosomal RNA, 305 nt
Filed under: uncultured bacterium
Lineage: Bacteria
Description: partial 16S ribosomal RNA
Rfam family: Bacterial small subunit ribosomal RNA
Source: RNAcentral